This 63-nucleotide transfer RNA is filed under the name Neoporus sp. NHM-IR594. RNAcentral describes it as "tRNA-His". The record is from RNAcentral. Lineage: Eukaryota; Metazoa; Arthropoda; Insecta; Coleoptera; Dytiscidae.
AUUUAAGUAAUUUAAUAAAAAUAUUGAUUUGUGGUGUCAAAAAUGUAAAGUUUACCUUGAAUU